UCGGUUCUUCGCCCUUGAUGGGCAAGAUAUUCCAAGCAAAAUAAGAUAUUUUAAUAGUAAUGAUCGACAAAGUUACAAUAUAGAAAUAAAUUUAAGAUACAUUAAAGACAGAAAGCCUCCGUUAUCAAUUACAGGUGCAUCUUUCAAGUGAUCAGCUCCGGUUUAGUUGUGUUAAAAAUUACAAAAAUAGAAUUUUUCUGUAAUUCGGAACAGAUGAAAUUCACCCUAUUCUGGAGUGGUUCCAUCGAUUAUAUAAAAGUUACUUCAGGGAAUUUGUAGGUACCAUUUCUUAAGUGUCCAUCCAAGUGAAUAUCGCAAGGUACAAGUCUCCAAAAGAUCACUCUUCGCACUACUCUUCAAACUUAAGUUAUGGAAAUUGUUUCCACAAUCUUGGAACGGGUUUAGUUAAACUCUGUACUGCUUUACCUGGCGAGUGUCCGAUCCAUAAAAACUGGGUUUGAUUAGCAAGAGGCUUACUUUGGAACAGAUAAUCACAACUCAACUGAAUAGUCACAAAAUAAUAGCAAUG
This is a non-coding RNA of Paramuricea clavata, 529 nucleotides long. NCBI's taxonomy places the organism in Eukaryota, Metazoa, Cnidaria, Anthozoa, Malacalcyonacea, Plexauridae. The record is from the annotation of a GenBank genome assembly.